Molecule: long non-coding RNA, 5203 nt
Organism: Dromaius novaehollandiae (emu)
Lineage: Eukaryota; Metazoa; Chordata; Aves; Casuariiformes; Dromaiidae
Exons: 2
Source: RefSeq, a predicted model, not a curated record
GACAAGCGCUUCCGGGAGCAGGGGGCAGCGCGGGGCAGCCUGGGGCAGCGCUGUCACGUGGGGCGCGAGGCGGGCGCGCCUCGGGGGCGUCAUGUUGGAGCCGGGCGCGUGCAGUGCGCAGGCGCGCGGCCGCCAUGGCGGCGCCCCUUGGGGCUGGGGCCGCUGCUCGGGGAUGUGGUUAGGCGGCGGCCGCCAGGCUCCGGGGCACCUCGGUCUCACAAGCUGCACGGCUGGUCGGUGCGUUUUGCCAGCGUCGCAAGAAGCAGCGAAGAGAAAUGGUGUCCCAGCCGCUGGCGCGUCGCGUCGCAUAAGCACCCGGUAUUGGGUUGUGCGUUAGGUGACGCGGAGGUGGGAUUAAGCCGUGGAUAUUAAAUGGGGUUAACGUGGGCAGGGCCUUGUGACCUGCUCUGCCGUUUUCUAUUGUUGCUCCUCUUAUAAAAUCUCUGACUUGAAUACAUUUCCCCAGGAACUUUGUACUGGCGUUACAUCUCUUGUAUCAGGAUCUCAGCACAGUGGAAACAGGAGCUUCAUCUCCCGCAGAAAGGGCCAACUUCUGCCAGAGCAAGACAACAGCUCCCCACCAGCAUGGACCUGGGAAGAGCAGAGUUCCCUCCCUCACUGAGAAGUGAGCUACUGCCCAGCAGCAAUGUUUUGCUUCUGCUUUUUGCAACCUUCCACAACUAUUUUCAGUCUGACCCACGUCAAAUACUGGUUGAAACAGAUAGUAAACCCUAACGCACACACACACAGGGGUCAAAAUGAGCCAGUCUACAAGGAAAAGCUGUACUGGCCCUUCUCAAAACAUCAUCUCUUGCAGAAACAGAUCUGUAUAGGACCUGCAAAGUUUCUGUUUCAACCAGUGUGUUAUAUAUUUACAGGCACACACACACAUGCACACUUAUAUGAAUGCGUGCACAUGCGCUCUCCACAUUCCUAAAUGGGCUACUUUUCUUCCCAAAUUUCUUCAAUUCAGGCAGACACCACUCUAUAAAAAUCGUUGUAGACUUACUUUACCUCUGAAAGUCUGUUAAGUGCCCACACAGAGGAUCUAUUUCAGCUCACCGUAUAUCUGCAUUGAUCCAGGCUUUUCGUCAGCACCCAUGAGCUAACUUGUUUUUGUGAGCGUACUUCCAGGGGCAUGAGCCGAAGUUUGGUCUUAACUCAGUACAACUCUGCCAGAGGUGAAGUGUGUGUAUGUGACAAACGUGAAAAAGAAUGAAGCACCAAGUCAUUGCACAUUCACAACAGAAAUAUAUUGAGACGUUUUUGUUACAGUAUUUUCCUUAGAAGAAUGUUAUACUGCUUUAAAUCUGUUAAGGCUGUAUUGAUUACAAUCCUACUGUCCAUCAGCAUCAUCCAUCAUCAUCUUUGGGCCACCAGUAUGACGGUCAUGAAGGAACAAAACAAAGUUGACUGGCAGAAUGUUUCACAUCUGAUGAGUCUGUGCACAAUAAGAGUAUAAUAAAUCAUACUCUGGAGGAACUCAGCUAUCGCUUAAAUACCAAAGGAGAGAUACUGCCUCAGCAGAAAUUCCCAAAGCCAUCUGUCAUCUGUCAUUAGUUCUGUGUCUAUGGCUGAGCUGGACUGAGGGAAUGGAAAGCACCACGGACUAGUGGUGGGCUAGAUAGGCUCCUUGUAUCAUGCAAGGAGAUUUAAAGUGGACUGACAUCAAGAAUCCAGAAUUGCUCUAAAUGAGCUUAAAACUACAGAGGCAGUACGGGUUUGAUACAAUGUUAUUUAGCAGUGCAGGCUGCCAGAGAGACUUUUUCCACAUGAGCUUGUGUCUGACAUUCACUGAAAAGUGUUUAGCCAUAGUCUAUCUGUGGUGCAACAAUUUGGUGCGCUUACAUUUAGCAGAUGGCUAGGGCCCUCAGUAAUGAAUUAUCACAGCCUAAGGAUGAGCAGAAAAAGACAGCAAGGAGGGAUGAACCAGGCACCAACCCUAGUAUGAUGGGUUCAGACAUUCGUUCUGCUAGUUCCUCUGGGUGGCAUUAAGCUCCCAGCAUGCUGCUAGGUGGGCUGAAUCAUAGAUCCUGAAGAUGUCUAAAUACUCUUGGGGCUACUGGAUUUCUAUAGGCACUGGUGGACUUCUGAGGUCACCUAACCCAGGGCUGAGGAGACUGAAGCAGUUCUGAGGAUCUCCAAAGGAUGCCCAAGCAUGUUGCGGUUCACAGGCUGUUUGCCCUCUCUGUCCUAACCAUUUCAGCUGUGAAGCCUGAGCUGACCAGUGUCCCCAAGGGGGAUUAAUACCCAGAAAAAAAGGAAACAUAUGCACCAGGGAACACCUCUUUCUCUUGAAAUUCCAGGCUUACAGUACUCACCUGACACAUCAGACAUUUCUGAGACAGGUUUGCCUCAGAUCCACUUUCUUCCUGAUGCAGAGCAAAUGCUUGAGUUUGUGUCUUGUGAAUUGUGCCCAGCAGUCACUGGACUAUGUCUUACCCUCGGUAAUGGUAAGGAUCUGACCAUUACCUGCAGACUGAUUUCUCAGCUUGACCUCACACCUACCUCAUGACCAAGGACUUGCCUACUGCUCUGGACUCUUGGUUGAACCUGGCUGCCCUCUCUGGGCCUGCCCUGCUCACCUUGCUCAGGGAUGGGGGGGGUGGGGGUGGGGGGCGGUCAGGCUCUGGCCAGCGAGGGCUCUGCCUUGCCAGCUGAGUUACUGCACUUGACUCCCUGUCCCAUAGGGAACAGCCAGCAUCGCUGCUCUCUGAUGCUCUCUCCCAUCCUGGCCUGGCAUCCUGCUUUUUUUUCCUGAAUCUGUGGGUGGAAACUCACCCAAGGAAGAAUCUUGGCCUCACCUUCCUCUGUACCAGCAUCAAGGAGGUGGUGAGCAGCUUUCCACGGGCAAAGGGAAGGUUAUGCCCAUGUUUUCCACACCUCGUCCCCAUUCAAGGAGUAUUUCCACUCCAGGCUCUGUUGUGCCUCCAUUCCCUUGGUGGCCAGCAUGGUUGUGUCUGCGACACGAGGCGAUUAGUGCAGAUUCAGACGCAAGCCCCACAGGCUCACUAGGACCAGCAGUGCUGGGUGAUUGAGGGGGGGUUGGAUGUUUACAGCAUGGGAUGAGGACUGACACAGCUAGGUCUGUGCUUAGCUCAUGGUAUAGACACACUCAAAGCAGAGAAAUGAGGGCAAGUGAAAACUGAAGACUUUUACACUGACUGUAGCAGGAGGAACUGAUGAAAACUCAAAGACAUGAGACACAUCACUCUUGAGAUGAGAUGAUGAGUGCAUCAGUCUUUGUGGUCACAUACCUAACUGGGCAAGUUCAUAAGCUCCUAACAUCUCAGCACAAAGUCAGAGGUGGACCUUAAUUCAAUCCAGGCUGGGAGAUUUUAGGAGGAACCAGGCAGAAACAAUACAUUGGGCUGGAAAUUGUUUAAAUGGCACAGGAUGCUCCUGCGAAUGUAUUAGCACUUCAAAUACUGUAGUCAAAAGCUUUCCUUGCUGUCUUUGUAGCAUAUGACAUUUUUCUUCUAUAGGAAAUAAAAGACAUGUCUGGAGAAAGGAACUGCAGUACCAAUCCAUCCACUCUAGCAGUAGAGGGAAUCCAUUUUUCUCCUGGCAGAAGGAAAUUAUAAUUAGAUAUCAACAGAGGUACCUGAGGGACCUGCAGCCCCAUCCCAAGCCUGCCUCUCUCAGCCCAGAAAUGCCAUCUCUCACCUCUUUCUUGUUGCUAUGGGGCAAGAGGGGGUCCCAGUGACGGCCCCACAUCCCGGCCUGACCUACUGCGCUCUGGCUUCCUGUGGGAGGGAAGAGCCCUGGCAGGCAAAGCUUUAAAGCAGGGCUGCUUUAACCAGCAGCAGCCACACAGCAAGGAUGGCUGCUUUCCUGCUCUCUGCCACCGCACAGGCAUGAGGCCGACUAAAUCGGCUCGAGGCUCCUCUCCCCGCCAUCCAGGUCUGGAUUGCAAGCUACUGGAUUGCACCUACUCCAUUGCCCCCCAGCCUGCUUUGCCACCCCUCUCCAGCAGCCUUAAGGUCAAUUUGCUUCAGACAGUUGGGAAGGGUAUUUUCGUCACAAAGUGGGUGGGUGAUCUCCACUACUCACUUCUGUCCAUAAUGGGGUCGCUGCAGCAUUAGAGCCACAUUUUAAAACCCUUAGCAGCCUCUCUUCGUCCCGCAGCAAGAACUGAUCAUGCAUUUCUCACUGGCAGUCCGUGCAGCCCCAGCUGCUACACAACAGGGGUGGCUGGGCGUGCACUGCUUGCCCUCCUCUUUCAUCCUCAUACCUUAACCACACUGUUAUUCAGCCCGUAUUUACUUCAACAGCAGCAAGACCCAGGAAUGACUACAGCACAUAAACACAUCCCCUAGCUGGAGCAAGGAACAGAUGACCGGACUGGUUUUUGUGUUUUUUUUUUUUAAUAUACAUGUAAAGGCAACUCCACAGUUUGUUAAGGUAAAAAAUUGGGAAGGGCAGGGGGAUCUUUGCUGUUUUGGGGCAGAGGUUGUAUCAGCUGGACAACCCAUGACAGAAGGGAUCACAGGAGCCUUAUUCCAAAUUUGCCUGUGGUCUAAUAGGCACAGAAAUGCCUGGCACAGGGGAGAAGGAUGUUCACGCCUGUGAUGAAGCAGCAAUGCCCUCAGCCUAGCGUCCCCCACACGAAGGAGAGCGCUCCUGCCCAGCCUGCUGGAGAAACAGCACGGCCGGCUCCUGCCCCGGCUGGGAUCUAGGCAGUUGCUGAGUCCAGCUGUCUCGCGUUACAUCAGCCCUGGUCAUAAACUGAUCGAGCUUCCUCUUUACUAGCAGCUGAUUUUCCAGGAGUUGGACUACAGCACAAGGACAACACUUCACCAUUGCCAAUGCCAAACUCAGAAUCAACUAUGGAAUUAAGCAAGCCAACAGACAACUAUAGUGAGGGUUUCUUCCGUUCUCAUUUUCAAGCCUUCUGAGAGCCUUUAUUUCAUAUUCUCAAGCUUGUCUCGGACUGCAAACUCAUUUUGUUAAAUAGAAUAUUGUAACCAUUUUUAAAUUGUUUUUGAUGGACUGGGCCCAAAGAUUGGUGCCUGUAUUCUAAGAUGCAGUACUGCUUUGCAGCAGAGUUUAAUUGGGGUGCCAUUUUUGCUUUUGAACUUAUUGUAAUUAUGAACAGAUUUUUUUUUUCAUAUGUCCCCUGGUUUCUCCCUUCGAAAGAAAAUCUCGUGUUUAAUGAACUUAAUUUUAGAUAAAAGGAAUUAAAAGAAGAAAAUUAAAAAUG